RNAcentral lists this unclassified non-coding RNA (224 nucleotides) under Hevea brasiliensis (rubber tree). The record is from RNAcentral. Lineage: Eukaryota; Viridiplantae; Streptophyta; Magnoliopsida; Malpighiales; Euphorbiaceae.
GCUGGUGGCAAAAAGCAACUACAUAAGGAGAUUGAUUCUUGUCAGGUCUGGUUCUGUUGAUUCCAUUAUCAAUUUCCUUAUGUAGUUGCUUUUUGCCACCAGCAUGAACUUUUGGAGAGCAAAACUGGCUUCUCCAACUUCAACCACAACAUCUGUUGGAAUUUCUUGAGAAAAAAACCCUGAAAUUAAAGGUUUUGUAAAGACAGAUCAAUAAUUAAUCUGAG